Molecule: ribosomal RNA, 449 nt
Filed under: uncultured bacterium
Lineage: Bacteria
Description: partial 16S ribosomal RNA
Rfam family: Bacterial small subunit ribosomal RNA
Source: RNAcentral
AUUGAACGCUGGCGGCAUGCCUAACACAUGCAAGUCGAACGAAGCCUUCGGGCUUAGUGGCGCACGGGUGCGUAACGCGUGGGAAUCUGCCCUUGGGUUCGGAAUAACAGUUAGAAAUGACUGCUAAUACCGGAUGAUGUCUUCGGACCAAAGAUUUAUCGCCCAAGGAUGAGCCCGCGUAGGAUUAGGUAGUUGGUGGGGUAAUGGCCCACCAAGCCGACGAUCCUUAGCUGGUCUGAGAGGAUGAUCAGACACACUGGGACUGAGACACGGCCCAGACUCCGACGGGAGGCAGCAGUGGGGAAUAUUGGACAAUGGGCGAAAGCCUGAUCCAGCAAUGCCGCGUGAGUGAUGAAGGCCUUAGGGUUGUAAAGCUCUUUUACCAGGGAUGAUAAUGACAGUACCUGGAGAAUAAGCUCCGGCUAACUCCGUGCCAGCCGCCGCAGUAA